RNAcentral lists this small RNA (610 nucleotides) under Pongo abelii (Sumatran orangutan). RNAcentral describes it as "retained intron". The record is from RNAcentral. Lineage: Eukaryota; Metazoa; Chordata; Mammalia; Primates; Hominidae.
AGGUACAUGACCCUGCCAUGUGGGCACAAUGUCAGCUCUGUUUCUUCUCCAUUUUCUGCUGAAAUUUUCUCUUUGUCUGCAGAGUUGUGCAGUUUCAAUACAUAAUAUCUAGGAAUGGAUUUCUGCUUAUUUUUCAUGUGAUAUUCAUUGACCACCUGAGUGUUUAGAGAUGACUUCUAUAACUGUUUAAAACUUACCAAUAUUUUGUCUCUGCACCCUACUGUCUAAUAUACUUGGGGGUUCACAACUGGCAAUUAUGCAAUCUAAAAAUAAUAAAAGUUUUUUAUUUCUGUGAUAGGUUUUUGAAUUCCAGUUGACUGCAGAGGACAUGAAAGCCAUAGAUGGCCUAAACAGAAAUCUCCACUAUUUUAACAGUGAUAGUCUUGCUAGCCACCCUAAUUAUCCAUAUUCAGAUGAAUAUUAACAUGGAGGGCUUUGCCUGAUGUCUGCCAGAAGCCGUGUGUGGGGAUGGUGACGCAGAGGACGUCUCUAUGCCAGUGACUGGACACAUCAUCACCUCUACUUAAAUCCAUCCUGCUUAGCGACUUCAGUCAACUAGAGCUAAGUCCAUAGGCCAGAAAGACAAUAAAUGUUUAUCAUUUUGAAAUAA